Long non-coding RNA from Marmota monax (woodchuck), 803 nucleotides. RefSeq lists it as uncharacterized. The record is from RefSeq and is a predicted model, not a curated record. Lineage: Eukaryota; Metazoa; Chordata; Mammalia; Rodentia; Sciuridae. The transcript has 3 exons.
GCUUACGACCAAUUUUUCUCGGAGGGGCAGAGCCCAGCACUGGAGUCCCCACCCAGCUAUUACCUGUCUGUGCAGCGCACGGCCGCGGCUCUCACCUGUGCGGGCGCUUCUUAACCGCUCCCUCUCCUCUGGGCCAUGGAGAUCCGAACCCCAGGGUUCUACGGCGCGUUCCAUCGCCAGUACGCCGCCCUGGGCAAGGGGACAGACACAUAAUCCUGUGGUCACCACAACCAUGUGCGGCCCGCGGACCUUGCCGCUGCCCUCUGUCGGCCGGCGCGGGCACCCGACACCGGGCGCGGUUCCCGGUAACUCCCGCCGGCGCCACCGGCCACCCCUGCACCUGCUGCUCCUCCUCCCAGCACGCAGCCGUCCCUCUCACCUCGUCAGCCGCCUCCAGCUCAGCCACCCGGUGCCCUCCCAAGUUCCUCUGCAAGGGUCUUGCUAAGUUGAUGAGGUUGGCCACAAACUUGCAAUCCUUCUGCCUCAACCUCCUGAGUUAAACAGCAUGAAUGCUGUGAGUCACACCUACUUGUGGCUGUCUCUCUCCCCAGAGGACUGAAAUGCUGACUUAAUUCACCCUGUCUGGAUCCUUGGCAACUAAUCCACAAGAGCAGUCACUGGAUAUUAGCUGGCAGAACUACCAUAUUGCUCAGCUCAUGUAAUAAUAAUAACUAGCAUUUGCAUGAGCUCAUCUCAUAUGCCAAAGCACUAUUCUAAGAGUUUUGUGUAUUAACCCGUAUUAACCCACGUGCCGUAGUCUGUCUUUUCUUUUUUUUGCAGUACUUGGGAUUAAAUUUAGAGCA